This 936-nucleotide long non-coding RNA is filed under the name Solanum tuberosum (potato). RNAcentral describes it as "long non-coding RNA (STUB_LNC007227)". Lineage: Eukaryota; Viridiplantae; Streptophyta; Magnoliopsida; Solanales; Solanaceae. The record is from RNAcentral.
CAAUAUAUCAUUAUGUCUCGAUGGGGAUUUCCAAGGAAAAAAUAGAAAUUGACUUGCUAGUCCUUGUUCAAAUUCUUUCAAGGUAGUGAGAUGUAACAUGUCACAUAACAAAUCUAGUUGAGCACAUCAUGAAGUUAUCACAAACAAUCCAUGUGCUACUAACACAUAUCUACAGAGAAGUAAUCACACUAGCAUAUUACAUUGUCAUUCAAGCCUUUGGUAAGAAAGAAAUAAUCAUUUUUACUACAUUUAUAACAUUACCAAAUAAAACAGAGAUAUUUUGAAUUUUCUCUAGCAACAAAUGUCCAACAAAAGGAUAAAAACUAAAAAUAUAAAUCAGAAUAUUAGGGAAGGAGAGGAACACAUCAUCAUAAGACUACAAGUACAAUUUUUUUUUGUCGGAUGGUCAUACACCGACAAAAUACAAAGGUGAGGGAUUUAACUAAAGACCAACAUCAAAUACACAAGUGAACGAUUGAGCUAAUGCUUCAACACAGAUUCAACCUACAAUGUCAUAUCUAUUAAAUAAGUUAUAGGGGAGUGAGUAAAUCAAGAUAAAUCGGUACCAGAGAAGAAAAAUGAUGAAUUGUAUCAUUGGCACAAAAGUCUCUCGGAUCUGCGACACCCAAAAGGGGAACACUCGUAGUGCACUCACCGCAUAGAUUGACAAAAAAAUCAAGAUAGCAAAUCCUUAUUGUUUCGUAGAAUAAAUUUUUCCUCAAAGCUGCUACAACAUCAAAUACAAUUUAGUAAUGAAGGAGUAGAAGGAAGAAUAUGAAGAGGAACACAAGGAAAUACUCACAGACUAGAAAAAAAAGCUCAACUCCUUGACCAUCAUAGCAGAUCCAAAGCUUUCAUGGGAGCACAUAGGUUUGAGUCAAAUACAAAUAUUUGUUUCCAGAUGUGACUCUGGUGUGGACAAAUGAGAUAUUAUAU